GACGAACGCUGGCGGCGUGCUUAACACAUGCAAGUCGAGCGGUAAGGCCCUUUCAGGGGUACGACGAGCGGCGAACGGGUGAGUAACACGUGGGUGACCUGCCCUCAGCUCUGGGGUAAGCCUGGGAAACUGGGUCUAAUACUGGAUAUGACUCCACGGUGCAUGUCGUGGGGUGGAAAGCCUUGUGCGGCUGAGGAUGGGCCCGCGGCCUAUCAGCUUGUUGGUGGGGUGAGNGGCCUACCAAGGCGACGACGGGUAGCCGGCCUGAGAGGGCGACCGGCC
RNAcentral lists this ribosomal RNA (282 nucleotides) under uncultured bacterium. RNAcentral's name for it is "partial 16S ribosomal RNA". It matches the Rfam family "Bacterial small subunit ribosomal RNA", at positions 28 to 309 of the family's 1533-position model. The record is from RNAcentral.